RNAcentral lists this ribosomal RNA (664 nucleotides) under uncultured eukaryote. RNAcentral describes it as "eukaryotic LSU rRNA". The stretch from base 241 to 395 matches the Rfam family "5.8S ribosomal RNA". The record is from RNAcentral.
UCCGUAGGUGANACCUGCGGAAGGAUCAUUCACACGCAUCCAAUCGAAUCAUGUGAACAGUGUGGCGUGAAUGUCUGCUUUGUGGUGAACAACCUGGGGCAGUCGAUUCAAGGGUAGUGGGGCAAGUUUGGUGGCCUUGUGUCGCCCGGGCUUGUUGGCCUGCUACCACGGGGUUUGGCUUACGACCUCGGAACUGGAAUUUCUCCUUUGGUGGGUUACCACCAGACUUAUUCUUUACACAACUUUCAGCGACGGAUGUCUCGGUUCGAACAACGAUGAAGGGCGCAGCGAAGUGUGAUAAACAUUGUGAAUUGCAGAAUUCCGUGAACCAACAGGGUUUUGAACGCAUACUGCGCUUUCGGGAUAUCCCUGAAAGCAUGCCUGCUUCAGUGUCUACUUCUUAUCAUGCCAGCGGCGCUUUCCUGGCUUCUCGUCAGGUAAAUGCUGUCUGUGCGUGUCUGCGCAUCUAAGUGCCUUCUGGCCUUCGAUGCGUGUAGUGCAUAGGGAAGCUCUCUGGCGGGUAAACAAGUGAGCAUCUCUUCGAUGUCUUCUCUUUGCCUCGCUGUGAGCAGUUUCCUUUACCUCCAUCGGACGUCUUUUGGCGGCCUUCUCUCCAAGACAUGAAGUUAGGCCAGCAAACCCGCUGAAUUUAAGCAUAUCAAUA